UCUCAAAUCUCAAACCAAUUCCAUCUUCCAAACACUCUCUUUGUUAACAAAUGGCUAAAUCAACAGACAACUCAUACAUGGAGGGGGAUGUGAUUCCAGAAUACUGCUCUUACAUGUAUGAGGAUGACGCUCCGGAGUUCUUCACAGUAUUAAGCAUUGAAGAACAAUCAAAGAUGGACAAAGGCUCUGGACAACAAAAGUCAAAACACUCUCAGAUGGAAGAAUAUGCUUGAAACAUGGUUGGGAGCAAUUCCACAAGGAACACAACUUGAGAGCUGGAGACUUCUUGACUUUCUAUAUGAUUUCACCCAAUCAUUUCUUUGUGAAAAUGUAUGAAGCUACGGGAUGUGCUAAGGAAAUCCAACAACAACCGGGUUCAUUUGGCCAAGAAACCGACGACGCAUCGUCUUCUCAACCUAUUGCUUCACCUUCUUCCAAAUUAGCCAUGACAAUAUCAAACCGAAAAAGUCUUCACAUACCAAUCCAUUUUUGGAGGACACAUGUGAUAGACAAAGAUAUUGAAGUGACAGUUUUGGAAUUCCAAGAGAAAACAUGGCAAACAAUGUUGAAGAAGGCUGAAGAUAGGGUGAGAAUCUCCACAAGAUGGUCAAGUUUCUACAAAGAAUGCUCUUUGUGUGAUGGAAUGCAAUUGAAGUUUGAGAUGAUAAGCAGCACCCCCCUACAAUCAAAUUUAAAGUGACUAUGGCCGAGUGAUGAAAGUUGACUACAUGGAAUGGUUUGAAAAAUACCCUGAUCAAGUAAGUUAAUUUGAAAAACUCUAUUUUGUGGAACAAACAAUAUGUAUUUAAUCGACUGUGUUUUUAGUACUCUAUUAGUAGUAGGCAAUAUUUUGUAUAUACUCAUGAAUUAGUAUCUAUUUUGUAGCAUAUUAUAUUGAGACUUUGAUAAUAUA
Molecule: long non-coding RNA, 913 nt
Organism: Salvia splendens (bonfire salvia)
Lineage: Eukaryota; Viridiplantae; Streptophyta; Magnoliopsida; Lamiales; Lamiaceae
Exons: 5
Source: RefSeq, a predicted model, not a curated record